AGUGAACGCUGGCGGUAGGCCUAACACGUGCAAGUCGAACGGCAGCACAGUAAGAGCUUGCUCUUACGGGUGGCGAGUGGCGGACGGGUGAGGAAUACAUCGGAAUCUACUUUUUCGUGGGGGAUAACGUAGGGAAACUUACGCUAAUACCGCAUACGACCUACGGGUGAAAGCAGGGGAUCUUCGGACCUUGCGCGAUUGAAUGAGCCGAUGUCGGAUUAGCUAGUUGGCGGGGUAAAGGCCCACCAAGGCGACGAUCCGUAGCUGGUCUGAGAGGAUGAUCAGCCACACUGGAACUGGGACACGGUCCAGACUCCUACGGGAGGCAGCAGUGGGGAAUAUUGGACAAAGGGCGCAAGCCUGAUCCAGCCAUACCGCGUGGGUGAAGAAGGCCUUCGGGUUGUAAAGCCCUUUUGUUGGGAAAGAAAAGCAGCAGGUUAAUACCCCGCUGUUCUGACGGUACCCAAAGAAUAAGCACCGGCUAACUUCGUG
This 492-nucleotide ribosomal RNA is filed under the name uncultured bacterium. RNAcentral's name for it is "partial 16S ribosomal RNA". It matches the Rfam family "Bacterial small subunit ribosomal RNA", at positions 29 to 507 of the family's 1533-position model. The record is from RNAcentral.